GACGAAACAGCUUGAGCCUGAAACACUCAUGGGAGGUUCAAUAGGGAUGAGAUAUUAACACGGCCCUUCACACUUCAUGCGAGGUUCAACAUGGGUUGGAUGCUCAGACACCAUCUUAAUAAAUUGUGCUGAGCCUACUCACCCAGAAGCUAGCUUGAGAGGGCAGGAUGUCCAAGGCAGAUUACGAUGUCUCAAACAGAUGUGCCAUAUUAACAGUUACAAAUGAAAUGAUUCAGAAUCCAUAGCAGGCGACUUCCAGCGGUAUCUUCCCAAGUAACUUGGUUCCCUUUUCUUCACUUCAAUCUUGUAUUGAGCUCCACUAUCCUCAUCCAUCUCUUUAUAGAACACAAUCAUAUCACCGGGCUUCAGAUCCUUACUGCGAACGAACUGAAACCAGUUCCCAAAAACAACUGGUUUCGAAAA
RNAcentral lists this unclassified non-coding RNA (423 nucleotides) under Hevea brasiliensis (rubber tree). The record is from RNAcentral. Lineage: Eukaryota; Viridiplantae; Streptophyta; Magnoliopsida; Malpighiales; Euphorbiaceae.